CGUCGCAUCUAUACAUGCAGUCGAGCGGACAGAAGGGAGCUUGCUCCCGGAUGUUAGCGGCGGACGGGUGAGUAACACGUGGGUAACCUGCCUGUAAGACUGGGAUAACUCCGGGAAACCGGAGCUAAUACCGGAUAGUUCCUUGAACCGCAUGGUUCAAGGAUGAAAGACGGUUUCGGCUGUCACUUACAGAUGGACCCGCGGCGCAUUAGCUAGUUGGUGGGGUAAUGGCUCACCAAGGCGACGAUGCGUAGCCGACCUGAGAGGGUGAUCGGCCACACUGGGACUGAGACACGGCCCAGACUCCUACGGGAGGCAGCAGUAGGGAAUCUUCCGCAAUGGACGAAAGUCUGACGGAGCAACGCCGCGUGAGUGAUGAAGGUUUUCGGAUCGUAAAGCUCUGUUGUUAGGGAAGAACAAGUGCGAGAGUAACUGCUCGCACCUUGACGGUACCUAACCAGAAAGCCACGGCGGGCUGCGUGCCAGCAGCCGCGGUAAUACGUAGGUGGCAAGCGUUGUCCGGAAUUAUUGGGCGUAAAGGGCUCGCACGCGGUUUCUUAAGUCUCACGUGAAAGCCCCCGCCUCAAC
RNAcentral lists this ribosomal RNA (588 nucleotides) under Bacillus safensis. RNAcentral describes it as "bacterial SSU rRNA". It matches the Rfam family "Bacterial small subunit ribosomal RNA", at positions 43 to 613 of the family's 1533-position model. The record is from RNAcentral. Lineage: Bacteria; Bacillati; Bacillota; Bacilli; Caryophanales; Bacillaceae.